Molecule: ribosomal RNA, 492 nt
Filed under: uncultured bacterium
Lineage: Bacteria
Description: partial 16S ribosomal RNA
Rfam family: Bacterial small subunit ribosomal RNA
Source: RNAcentral
GAUGAACGCUAGCUACAGGCUUAACACAUGCAAGUCGAGGGGAAACGGCAUUAAGUGCUUGCACUUUUUGGACGUCGACCGGCGCACGGGUGAGUAACGCGUAUCCAACCUUCCCAUGACUAAGGGAUAACCUGCCGAAAGGCAGACUAAUACCUUAUGGUCUUCACUGACGGCAUCAGAUGUGAAGUAAAGAUUUAUCGGUUAUGGAUGGGGAUGCGUCUGAUUAGCUUGUUGGCGGGGUAACGGCCCACCAAGGCAACGAUCAGUAGGGGUUCUGAGAGGAAGGUCCCCGACAUUGGAACUGGGACACGGUCCAAACUCCUACGGGAGGCAGCAGUGAGGAAUAUUGGUCAAUGGGCGAGAGCCUGAACCAGCCAAGUAGCGUGCAGGAUGACGGCCCUAUGGGUUGUAAACUGCUUUUGUAUGGGGAGAAAGUCAAUCACGUGUGAUUGUUUGCAGGUACCAUACGAAUAAGGACCGGCUAAUUCCGUG